GGUGGAUGCCUUGGCACUAGGAGCCGAAGAAGGACGUUGUAGCCUGCGAUAAGCCUCGGGGAGUUGGCAAACGAACCGUGAUCCGAGGAUGUCCGAAUGGGGAAACCCCGCUGGAGUCAUGUCCAGUGACCCGCACCUGAAUAUAUAGGGUGUGUGGAGGGAACGCCGGGAAGUGAAACAUCUCAGUACCGGCAGGAAGAGAUAUUCCGUGAGUAGUGGCGAGCGAAAGCGGAUGUGGCCAAACCGUGUGUGUGUUCAAGCCGGCAGGUGUUGCAUGUGCGGGGUUGUGGGGGCCUGUGUGAUCCUGCUGCCGUGGGAUCGGCUUGCAUGUGGUGUGAAGUUGAAUCGUCUGGGAAGGCGGACCGUAGUGGGUGAGAGUCCCGUAGACGUGAGUGUCAUGUGUGGUUGUCAGGUUGCCCCAAGUAGCGCGGUACUCGUGGAAUGUCGCGUGAAUCUGGCGGGACCACCCGUCAAGCCUAAAUACUCCUUGGUGACCGAUAGUGGAUGAGUACCGUGAGGGAAGGGUGAAAAGUACCCCGGGAGGGGAGUGAAAGAGUACCUGAAACCGUGUGCUUACAAGCGGUCGGAGCUGCAUUUAUGCAGUGACGGCGUGCCUUUUGUAUAAUGAGCCUACGAGUUGCUCCUGUUGUGCGAGGUUAAGCCCCUAAGGGGUGGAGCCGUAGCGAAAGCGAGUCUGAAAUGGG
Molecule: ribosomal RNA, 704 nt
Filed under: Prymnesium parvum
Lineage: Eukaryota; Haptophyta; Prymnesiales; Prymnesiaceae
Description: partial Bacterial large subunit ribosomal RNA
Rfam family: Bacterial large subunit ribosomal RNA
Source: RNAcentral